This 253-nucleotide ribosomal RNA is filed under the name uncultured bacterium. Its description in RNAcentral is "partial 16S ribosomal RNA". It matches the Rfam family "Bacterial small subunit ribosomal RNA", at positions 524 to 776 of the family's 1533-position model. The record is from RNAcentral.
UACAGAGGGUGCAAGCGUUAAUCGGAUUUACUGGGCGUAAAGGGCGCGUAGGCGGUUAGUUAAGUGAGAUGUGAAAGCCCUGGGCUUAACCUAGGAACUGCAUCUUAAACUGACUAGCUAGAGUACUGUAGAGGGUAGUGGAAUUUCCGGUGUAGCGGUGAAAUGCGUAGAGAUCGGAAGGAACACCAGUGGCGAAGGCGGCUACCUGGACAGAUACUGACGCUGAGGCGCGAAAGCGUGGGGAGCAAACAGG